AUUCCGAACAGAGAAGUUAAGCCCGUUAGCGCCGAUGGUACUGCAGAAAUGUGGGAGAGUAGGUCGCCGCCCAUC
Molecule: ribosomal RNA, 75 nt
Filed under: Saccharicrinis carchari
Lineage: Bacteria; Pseudomonadati; Bacteroidota; Bacteroidia; Marinilabiliales; Marinilabiliaceae
Source: RNAcentral